RNAcentral lists this ribosomal RNA (154 nucleotides) under Begonia formosana. RNAcentral's name for it is "5.8S ribosomal RNA". It matches the Rfam family "5.8S ribosomal RNA". Rfam says of the family: 5.8S ribosomal RNA (5.8S rRNA) is a component of the large subunit of the eukaryotic ribosome. It is transcribed by RNA polymerase I as part of the 45S precursor that also contains 18S and 28S rRNA. Lineage: Eukaryota; Viridiplantae; Streptophyta; Magnoliopsida; Cucurbitales; Begoniaceae. The record is from RNAcentral.
CUAGACAACAGAUAUCUUGGCUCUUGCAUCGAUGAAGAACGUAGUGAAAUGCGAUACUUGAUGUGAAUUACAGAAUCCUGUGAACCAUCAAGUUUUUGAACGCAAGUUGUGCCCGAAACCUUUUGGCUGAGGGCACGUCUUCCUGGGCAUCAUA